GGGAGGACGAGGAGCCUGACGGAGGAGGACCUGGAGGAGCUCAAGGGCUGCCUCGACCUCGGAUUCGGGUUCAGCUACGAUGAGAUUCCUGAGCUCUGCAACACGCUUCCAGCUCUUGAGCUGUGUUACUCGAUGAGCCAGCGGUUUCUCGACGAGCAGCAUCAGCGAUCGCCUGACGGCGAGGCGCCGGAGCGCACCCCUAGUAGUGCACCAGCAUCGCCCAUUGCUAAUUGGAGGAUCUCCAGCCCUGGAGACGAUCCCGAUGAAGUAAAAGCAAGGCUGAAGUAUUGGGCUCAAGCUGUGGCUUGUACUGUGAGACUAUGCAGCUGACAUUGGUUGUAUCCUAUAUGCGGUAACAAGCAGCAUGAAAAUUGACUAAGAAGGCUUCCAUUAUGCGAAUCAAUUCCUCUUCCAUUGUUAAUCCACUCAACACCUGCAAGUCUUCGUAGAGAGGAAGGAGAUCAAUGGCAGGAUAAAAAGAAGAAAUGUCUAGAAGGAAGAGGAAGGAGGAGAAGCAAACUGUGAACAUCCUCUGUCUAAAAUCAAAUGAGUAACAUGUCUGACCUCUGC
RNAcentral lists this unclassified non-coding RNA (570 nucleotides) under Hevea brasiliensis (rubber tree). Lineage: Eukaryota; Viridiplantae; Streptophyta; Magnoliopsida; Malpighiales; Euphorbiaceae. The record is from RNAcentral.